This 320-nucleotide unclassified non-coding RNA is filed under the name plant metagenome. Its description in RNAcentral is "partial contains 5.8S ribosomal RNA, internal transcribed spacer 2, and large subunit ribosomal RNA". The stretch from base 1 to 105 matches the Rfam family "5.8S ribosomal RNA", at positions 50 to 154 of the family's 154-position model. The record is from RNAcentral.
GAAAUGCGAUAAGUAAUGUGAAUUGCAGAAUUCAGUGAAUCAUCGAAUCUUUGAACGCACAUUGCGCCCGCCAGUAUUCUGCCGGGCAUGCCUGUUCGAGCGUCAUUACAACCCUCAGGCCCCCGGGCCUGGCGUUGGGGAUCGGCGGAAGCCCCCUGCGGGCACAACGCCGUCCCCCAAAUACAGUGGCGGUCCCGCCGCAGCUUCCAUUGCGUAGUAGCUAACACCUCGCAACUGGAGAGCGGCGCGGCCACGCCGUAAAACACCCAACUUCUGAAUGUUGACCUCGAAUCAGGUAGGAAUACCCGCUGAACUUAAGC